AUUGAACGCUGGCGGCAUGCUUUACACAUGCAAGUCGGACGGCAGCACAGAGAAGCUUGCUUCUUGGGUGGCGAGUGGCGAACGGGUGAGUAACAUAUCGGAACGUACCGAGCAGUGGGGGAUAACUAAUCGAAAGAUUAGCCAAUACCGCAUAUUUUCUGAGGAAGAAAGCAGGGGACCAUUUGGCCUUGCGCUGUUUGAGCGGCCGAUAUCUGAUUAGCUAGUUGGUGGGGUAAAGGCCUACCAAGGCGACGAUCAGUAGCGGGUCUGAGAGGAUGAUCCGCCACACUGGGACUGAGACACGGCCCAGACUCCUACGGGAGACAGCAGUGGGGAAUUUUGGACAAUGGGCGCAAGCCUGAUCCAGCCAUGCCGCGUGUCUGAAGAAGGCCUUCGGGUUGUAAAGGACUUUUGUCAGGGAAGAAAAGGACAGGGUUAAUACCCCUGUCUGAUGACGUACCUGAAGAAUAG
Molecule: ribosomal RNA, 471 nt
Filed under: Neisseria pharyngis
Lineage: Bacteria; Pseudomonadati; Pseudomonadota; Betaproteobacteria; Neisseriales; Neisseriaceae
Description: bacterial SSU rRNA
Rfam family: Bacterial small subunit ribosomal RNA
Source: RNAcentral